UACGGAGGGUGCGAGCGUUGUUCGGAAUUACUGGGCGUAAAGCGCGUGUAGGCGGCCUUCUAAGUCUGGUGUGAAAGCCCGGGGCUCACCCCCGGAAGUGCAUUGGAUACUGGGAGGCUGGAGUACCGGAGAGGAGGGUGGGAUUCCUGGUGUAGCGGUGAAAUGCGUAGAUAUCAGGAGGAACACCGGUGGCGAAGGCGGCCCUCUGGACGGAUACUGACGCUGAGACGCGAAAGCGUGGGGAGCAAACAGG
RNAcentral lists this ribosomal RNA (253 nucleotides) under uncultured bacterium. Its description in RNAcentral is "partial 16S ribosomal RNA". It matches the Rfam family "Bacterial small subunit ribosomal RNA", at positions 524 to 776 of the family's 1533-position model. The record is from RNAcentral.